Molecule: long non-coding RNA, 146 nt
Organism: Hipposideros armiger (great roundleaf bat)
Lineage: Eukaryota; Metazoa; Chordata; Mammalia; Chiroptera; Hipposideridae
Exons: 2
Source: RefSeq, a predicted model, not a curated record
GUUGUUGGGUUCCUCUGGGCUUAUCUGCGCCACUCGCCCGCCACACAUUCCGCAGUCGUAAGCCGCUAUCAUGGUGAAGCUCGCAAAGGCUGGUAAAAAUCAAGGUGACUCCAAGAAAAUGGCUCCUCCCCCAAAGGAGAUAGAAG